UGAGGAUUAUUGGACAAUGGGCGGAAGCCUGAUCCAGCCAUGCCGCGUGUGUGAAGAAGGUCUGCGGAUUGUAAAGCACUUUAAGUAGGGAGGAAGGGCAGUAAGCGAAUACCUUGCUGUUUUGACGUUACCGACAGAAUAAGCACCGGCUAACUCUGUGCCAGCAGCCGCGGUAAUACAGAGGGUGCAAGCGUUAAUCGGAAUUACUGGGCGUAAAGCGCGCGUAGGUGGUUCGUUAAGUUGAAUGUGAAAGCCCCGGGCUCAACCUGGGAACUGCAUCCAAAACUGGCGAGCUAGAGUAGGGCAGAGGGUGGUGGAAUUUCCUGUGUAGCGGUGAAAUGCGUAGAUAUAGGAAGGAACACCAGUGGCGAAGGCUACCACCUGGGCUCAUACUGACACUGAGGUGCGAAAGCGUGGGGAGCAAACAGG
RNAcentral lists this ribosomal RNA (429 nucleotides) under Pseudomonadota bacterium. RNAcentral describes it as "Proteobacteria bacterium partial 16S ribosomal RNA". It matches the Rfam family "Bacterial small subunit ribosomal RNA", at positions 355 to 776 of the family's 1533-position model. Lineage: Bacteria; Pseudomonadati; Pseudomonadota. The record is from RNAcentral.